RNAcentral lists this transfer RNA (73 nucleotides) under Capra hircus (goat). It matches the Rfam family "tRNA". From Rfam's summary of the family: Transfer RNA (tRNA) molecules are approximately 80 nucleotides in length. Their secondary structure includes four short double-helical elements and three loops (D, anti-codon, and T loops). Further hydrogen bonds mediate the characteristic L-shaped molecular structure. tRNAs have two regions of fundamental functional importance: the anti-codon, which is responsible for specific mRNA codon recognition, and the 3' end, to which the tRNAs corresponding amino acid is attached (by aminoacyl-tRNA synthetases). tRNAs cope with the degeneracy of the genetic code in two manners: having more than one tRNA (with a specific anti-codon) for a particular amino acid; and 'wobble' base-pairing, i.e. permitting non-standard base-pairing at the 3rd anti-codon position. RNAcentral also lists the same sequence under 1 other name. The record is from Rfam by way of RNAcentral. Lineage: Eukaryota; Metazoa; Chordata; Mammalia; Artiodactyla; Bovidae.
UCUCUGGUGGUCUAGUGGCUAAGACUUGGUGCUUGCAAUGCAGGGGACCCAGGUUCGAUCCCUGGUCAGGGAA